This 465-nucleotide ribosomal RNA is filed under the name uncultured bacterium. RNAcentral's name for it is "partial 16S ribosomal RNA". It matches the Rfam family "Bacterial small subunit ribosomal RNA", at positions 28 to 507 of the family's 1533-position model. The record is from RNAcentral.
GACGAACGCUGGCGGCGUGCUUAACACAUGCAAGUCGAACGGAAAGGCCCUGCUUGCAGGGUACUCGAGUGGCGAACGGGUGAGUAACACGUGGGUGAUCUGCCCUGCACUUCGGGAUAAGCCUGGGAAACUGGGUCUAAUACCGGAUAGGAGCCAUUUUUAGUGUGAUGGUUGGAAAGUUUUUUCGGUGUAGGAUGAGCUCGCGGCCUAUCAGCUUGUUGGUGGGGUAAUGGCCUACCAAGGCGGCGACGGGUAGCCGGCCUGAGAGGGUGGACGGCCACAUUGGGACUGAGAGACGGCCCAGACUCCUACGGGAGGCAGCAGUGGGGAAUAUUGCACAAUGGGCGCAAGCCUGAUGCAGCGACGCCGCGUGGGGGAUGACGGGCUUCGGGUUGUAAACUCCUUUCGCUAGGGACGAAGCUUUUUGUGAGGGUACCUAGAUAAGAAGCACCGGCUAACUACGUG